RNAcentral lists this ribosomal RNA (440 nucleotides) under uncultured bacterium. RNAcentral's name for it is "partial 16S ribosomal RNA". It matches the Rfam family "Bacterial small subunit ribosomal RNA", at positions 338 to 795 of the family's 1533-position model. The record is from RNAcentral.
CCUACGGGUGGCAGCAGUGGGGAAUAUUGCACAAUGGGCGAAAGCCUGAUGCAGCGACGCCGCGUGAGUGAAGAAGUAUUUCGGUAUGUAAAGCUCUAUCAGCAGGGAAGAAAAUGACGGUACCUGACUAAGAAGCCCCGGCUAACUACGUGCCAGCAGCCGCGGUAAUACGUAGGGGGCAAGCGUUAUCCGGAUUUACUGGGUGUAAAGGGAGCGUAGACGGCAGCACAAGUCUGGAGUGAAAUGCCGGGGCUUAACCCCGGAACUGCUUUGGAAACUGUGCAGCUAGAGUGCAGGAGAGGUAAGUGGAAUUCCUAGUGUAGCGGUGAAAUGCGUAGAUAUUAGGAGGAACACCAGUGGCGAAGGCGGCUUACUGGACUGUAACUGACGUUGAGGCUCGAAAGCGUGGGGAGCAAACAGGAUUAGAUACCCCUGUAGUC